Molecule: ribosomal RNA, 253 nt
Filed under: uncultured bacterium
Lineage: Bacteria
Description: partial 16S ribosomal RNA
Rfam family: Bacterial small subunit ribosomal RNA
Source: RNAcentral
UACGUAGGGGGCAAGCGUUAUCCGGAUUUACUGGGUGUAAAGGGAGCGUAGACGGCUAAUCAAGUCAGAAGUGAAAACCCAGGGCUCAACUUUGGGACUGCUUUUGAAACUGAGUAGCUAGAGUGCAGGAGAGGUAAGCGGAAUUCCUAGUGUAGCGGUGAAAUGCGUAGAUAUUAGGAGGAACACCAGUGGCGAAGGCGGCUUACUGGACUGUAACUGACGUUGAGGCUCGAAAGCGUGGGGAGCAAACAGG